GCUUGCUGGGUGGAUUAGUGGCGAACGGGUGAGUAACACGUGAGUAACCUGCCCUUGACUCUGGGAUAAGCCUGGGAAACUGGGUCUAAUACCGGAUAUGACUGCUCCGCGCAUGCGGUGGUGGUGGAAAGCUUUUGCGGUUUUGGAUGGACUCGCGGCCUAUCAGCUUGUUGGUGGGGUAAUGGCCUACCAAGGCGACGACGGGUAGCCGGCCUGAGAGGGUGACCGGCCACACUGGGACUGAGACACGGCCCAGACUCCUACGGGAGGCAGCAGUGGGGAAUAUUGCACAAUGGGCGCAAGCCUGAUGCAGCGACGCCGCGUGAGGGAUGACGGCCUUCGGGUUGUAAACCUCUUUCAGUAGGGAAGAAGCUUUCGGGUGACGGUACCUGCAGAAGAAGCGCCGGCUAACUACGUGCCAGCAGCCGCGGUAAUACGUAGGGCGCAGGCGUUAUCCGGAAUUAUUGGGGCGUAAAGAGCUCGUAAGCGGUUUGUCGCGUCUGCUGUGAAAGACCGGGGCUCAACUCCGGUUCUGCAGUGGGGUACGGGCAGACUAAAGUGAUGUAGGGGAAACUGGAAUUCCUGGUUGUAGCGGUGAAAUGCGCAGAUAU
RNAcentral lists this ribosomal RNA (611 nucleotides) under Arthrobacter sp. RNAcentral's name for it is "bacterial SSU rRNA". It matches the Rfam family "Bacterial small subunit ribosomal RNA", at positions 78 to 697 of the family's 1533-position model. RNAcentral also lists the same sequence under 1 other name. Lineage: Bacteria; Bacillati; Actinomycetota; Actinomycetes; Micrococcales; Micrococcaceae. The record is from RNAcentral.